GUUACACUUAUGAUGCAAUAAAAAAAGUUCAGUAAUUAAUUAAUAAAUAUAUGGUGAAUAUUUUUUUAGUUUUAUUGGGUGAAAUUUUUAAAAUUGAAAUGUAUUUAUAGAAAUUUUAUGAGGUUAAUAAACUUAGAUUUAAAACUAGGAUUAGAUACCCUAUUAUUCUAAAUUAAACUUUAUGGUUACUUGGUCAGUAGUAGUUAUAGUCUUGAAAAUUAAAGAAGUUGGCGGUAUUUUAGUCUAUUCAGAGGAACCUGUUCUAUAAUCGAUGAUCCACGAUUUUUUUUACUUAUUUUCAUUAGUUUGCAUAUCGCCGUGGUUUGAAUAUUUUUAAAAAAAUUAAAUGUUCAAUAAUUUUAUUAGAAAAGAAUUCAGGUCAAGAUGUAGUUUAUAGAUAAGGAGAGAUGGGUUACAAUAAAUUUAUUUAGACGGAUUGAUAAAUGAAAUUUUAUUAUAAAGAUGGAUUUGAGGGUAAUUUUAUUUAAAUUAAUAAAAUGAUUUUAGCUCUAAA
RNAcentral lists this ribosomal RNA (514 nucleotides) under Exophthalmus similis. RNAcentral describes it as "partial 12S ribosomal RNA". The record is from RNAcentral. Lineage: Eukaryota; Metazoa; Arthropoda; Insecta; Coleoptera; Curculionidae.